This 1533-nucleotide ribosomal RNA is filed under the name Triticum aestivum (bread wheat). Its description in RNAcentral is "partial small subunit ribosomal RNA". Lineage: Eukaryota; Viridiplantae; Streptophyta; Magnoliopsida; Poales; Poaceae. The record is from RNAcentral.
AUGAGGUGCCACAAGGCAUGGAGGAACAAGAAGGUGAAAGGUGCUGCGCCUGUCGUUCCGGAACGAAAAAGAGGAAUCAUUCUCAAGACGGGAUGCCCUGUCCGGUGUAAGCUAAACGUAGAUGGAACACAGUAUGUGGUCACUGAAUAUUUUGACGAGCACAACCACAGUCUCAUAAAGAAGUUCGACCUGGUCAAAUUUCUGACCGCCCACAGAGGAUUCACCCCAGUCGAAAGACAAUUCGUAAAGCUGCUACAUGACUGUAACGUCGGUCCAUCAAGAAUGGUCCAGAUACUAUCACUCAUCCACAGCAAAAAGGGGAAACUGAGUAGCAUGCCCUACAUACCGGCUGACGUCACAAACCUAUAGGCCAAGUACCGUAGAGAGAGCAGGCUGGCUGACAUAGAGGCUACAAUUGCCUACUUCGAUGAGAAAGCAAAGGAAGAUCCAGAUUUCUUCUACAGGAUAAGGUUGGACGAUGAGGACCGUGUCAGGAACAUGUAUUGGGUGGAUGGUGCUGCAAGGAGAGCCUACAAACAUUUCCGAGAUUGCAUUUCGUUCGACGUGACGUACCUCACCAAUAUGUACAAGAUGCCAUGCGCUUCGUUCAUAGGAAUAAAUAACCACAAUCAGUCGUUGCAGUUCGGCUGCGGGCUCGUUCGGAACGAAGACACAGAUGGGUACGUCUGGUUGUUCAAGACCUUCUUGGAGUGCAUGGAUGGACUUGCUCCGAUGAACAUAAUAACAGACCAGGAUUUUAGCAUGCGUGCAGGCAUAGAGGAGGUCUUUCCGUUGGCAGUGCAUAGGCACUACAGGUGGCACAUAAUAAAGAAGGCUGAGGAGACCCUAGAGUUUGAGAGGAGCUGGAUGGCCAUGGUUGAAACGCAUCAAGUCCAAGACAAUGAGACGCUUGCUAGUCUGUGGGAGAAGCGAAUGUACUGGGUGCCCGCCUACUUCAUGCAGUGCUUCUUCCCUUUUCUACAGACUACGCAGCGCAGCGAGGGGUUCAAUGUUGUGUUGAAGCGAUACAUGAGCCCUGGCAACUCAUUGCUACAGUUUGCCAAGCAGUACACAGCUCUGCAACAAAAAAUUCUAGGAUCUGAGCUCCAGCAAGAAGCUACCACCGCGCUAAAGCAGCCGAAAUUGCUAACGUACUUACCAAUGGAGAGGCAAAUGAGCAAGAUAUACACAAACAAGAUCUUUAACAAUGGGGCAUACAAAGGAAGGAACUACUUCGUGAAAGCCUCGAUAAGCGAAGGCGAGUACUACUGCCAAUGCUGCAAGUUCGAACUGGACGGCAUUGUGUGUUGUCACAUACUAAAAGUGAUGGACAUGAACGCUGUGACACGGAUACCCCGCCAUUUCAUAAGGUGGCGAUGGACUUGGGACGCUGACGACGCGCUGGCACCGCAGACAACACACGCGGUUCUGGCUGUGCAUGACGAGAGACCUGAGUCAACCAUGGAAGCCGUGAGGCACGUAGUGCUGACAAAGAACUAUGCUGAGCUAAUUGAUGAAGCGUGCAAAAAGUGA